UACGUAGGGUGCGAGCGUUAAUCGGAAUCACUGGGCGUAAAGCGUGCGCAGGCGGUUCUCCAAGUCCGUUGUGAAAGCCCCGGGCUCAACCUGGGAAUGGCAGUGGAAACUAGGGGACUUGAAUCUGGCAGAGGGGGGUGGAAUUCCACGUGUAGCAGUGAAAUGCGUAGAGAUGUGGAGGAACACCGAUGGCGAAGGCAGCCCCCUGGGCUGAGAUUGACGCUCAGGCACGAAAGCGUGGGGAGCAAACAGG
RNAcentral lists this ribosomal RNA (253 nucleotides) under uncultured bacterium. Its description in RNAcentral is "partial 16S ribosomal RNA". It matches the Rfam family "Bacterial small subunit ribosomal RNA", at positions 524 to 776 of the family's 1533-position model. The record is from RNAcentral.